UAACAUUACUCUAGUCUCACACAGCAGAUGCUUCUUCCCCAAGUUGUAUGCCUGGGGAGGAGGUUAACAUUACUCUAGUCUCACACAGCAGAUGCUUCUUCCCAAGUUGUAUGCCUGGGGAGGAGGUUAACAUUACUCUAGUCUCACACAGCAGAUGCUUCUUCCCCAAGUUGUAUGCCUGGGGAGGAGGUUAACAUUACUCUAGUCUCACACAGCAGAUGCUUCUUCCCAAGUUGUAUGCCUGGGGAGGAGGUUAACAUUACUCUAGUCUCACACAGCAGAUGCUUCUUCCCAAG
Oncorhynchus keta (chum salmon) is the source of this 296-nucleotide long non-coding RNA. RefSeq lists it as uncharacterized. Lineage: Eukaryota; Metazoa; Chordata; Actinopteri; Salmoniformes; Salmonidae. The record is from RefSeq and is a predicted model, not a curated record. The transcript is spliced from 3 exons.